This 848-nucleotide ribosomal RNA is filed under the name uncultured Bacteroidota bacterium. RNAcentral's name for it is "bacterial SSU rRNA". It matches the Rfam family "Bacterial small subunit ribosomal RNA", at positions 1 to 836 of the family's 1533-position model. The record is from RNAcentral. Lineage: Bacteria; Pseudomonadati; Bacteroidota.
UGGAUCCAGACUUUGAUUCUGGCUCAGGAUGAACGCUAGCUACAGGCUUAACACAUGCAAGUCGAGGGGAAACGAUAUUGGAAGCUUGCUUCCGAUAGGCGUCGACCGGCGCACGGGUGAGUAACGCGUAUCCAACCUGCCCACCACUUGGGGAUAACCUUGCGAAAGUAAGACUAAUACCCAAUGAUAUCUCUAGAAGACAUCUGAAAGGGAUUAAAGAUUUAUCGGUGAUGGAUGGGGAUGCGUCUGAUUAGCUUGUUGGCGGGGUAACGGCCCACCAAGGCUACGAUCAGUAGGGGUUCUGAGAGGAAGGUCCCCCACAUUGGAACUGAGACACGGUCCAAACUCCUACGGGAGGCAGCAGUGAGGAAUAUUGGUCAAUGGGCGAGAGCCUGAACCAGCCAAGUAGCGUGCAGGAUGACGGCCCUAUGGGUUGUAAACUGCUUUUAUAAGGGAAUAAAGUGAGCUACGUGUAGCUCUUUGCAUGUACCUUAUGAAUAAGGACCGGCUAAUUCCGUGCCAGCAGCCGCGGUAAUACGGAAGGUCCGGGCGUUAUCCGGAUUUAUUGGGUUUAAAGGGAGCGUAGGCCGGAGAUUAAGCGUGUUGUGAAAUGUAGAUGCUCAACAUCUGCACUGCAGCGCGAACUGGUUUCCUUGAGUACGCACAAAGUGGGCGGAAUUCGUGGUGUAGCGGUGAAAUGCUUAGAUAUCACGAAGAACUCCGAUUGCGAAGGCAGCUCACUGGAGCGCAACUGACGCUGAAGCUCGAAAGUGCGGGUAUCGAACAGGAUUAGAUACCCUGGUAGUCCGCACGGUAAACGAUGGAUGCCCGCUGUUGGUCUGAAAUAG